UACGUAGGGUGCGAGCGUUAAUCGGAAUUACUGGGCGUAAAGCGUGCGCAGGCGGUUUUGUAAGCCAGAUGUGAAAGCCCCGGGCUUAACCUGGGAAUGGCAUUUGGGACUGCAAGGCUUGAGUGCGGCAGAGGAGACUGGAAUUCCUGGUGUAGCAGUGAAAUGCGUAGAGAUCAUGAGGAAGACCAGUGGCGAAGGCGGGUCUCUGGACAGUUCCUGACACUGAGGCACGAAGGCCAGGGGAGCAAACGGG
RNAcentral lists this ribosomal RNA (253 nucleotides) under uncultured bacterium. RNAcentral describes it as "partial 16S ribosomal RNA". It matches the Rfam family "Bacterial small subunit ribosomal RNA", at positions 524 to 776 of the family's 1533-position model. The record is from RNAcentral.